AUUGAACGCUGGCGGCAUGCCUUACACAUGCAAGUCGAGCGGCAGCGCGGGGGCAACCCUGGCGGCGAGCGGCGAACGGGUGAGUAAUGCAUCGGAACGUGUCCUCUUGUGGGGGAUAACCAGUCGAAAGACUGGCUAAUACCGCAUGAGCUCGAGAGAGGAAAGCAGGGGACCGCAAGGCCUUGCGCGAGAGGAGCGGCCGAUGCCGGAUUAGCUAGUUGGUGGGGUAAAGGCCUACCAAGGCGACGAUCCGUAGCUGGUCUGAGAGGACGACCAGCCACACUGGGACUGAGACACGGUCCAGACUCCUACGGGAGGCAGCAGUGGGGAAUUUUGGACAAUGGGGGCAACCCUGAUCCAGCCAUGCCGCGUGUGUGAAGAAGGCCUCGGGUUGUAAAGCACUUUCGGCCGGAACGAAAUCGCGCGAUCUAAUAAGUCGCGUGGAUGACGGUACCGGAAGAAGAAGCACCGGCUAACUACGUGCCAGCAGCCGCGGUAAUACGUAGGGUGCAAGCGUUAACCGGAAUUACUGGGCGUAAAGUGUGCGCAGGUGGCCGCGCAAGUCGAGUGUGAAAGCCCCGGGCUUAACUUGGGAAUUGCGCUCGAAACUACGUGGCUCGAGUGUGGCAGAGGAAGGUGGAAUUCCACGUGUAGCGGUGAAAAUGCGUAGAGUGUGGAGGAACACCGAUGGCGAAGGCAGCCUUCUGGGCCAACACUGACGCUCAUGCACGAAAGCGUGGGGGAGCAAAACAGGAUUAGAUACCCUGGU
RNAcentral lists this ribosomal RNA (769 nucleotides) under uncultured bacterium. Its description in RNAcentral is "bacterial SSU rRNA". It matches the Rfam family "Bacterial small subunit ribosomal RNA", at positions 28 to 791 of the family's 1533-position model. The record is from RNAcentral.